Molecule: ribosomal RNA, 428 nt
Filed under: uncultured bacterium
Lineage: Bacteria
Description: partial 16S ribosomal RNA
Rfam family: Bacterial small subunit ribosomal RNA
Source: RNAcentral
UGGGGAAUUUUGGACAAUGGGCGAAAGCCUGAUCCCAGCAAUGCCGCGUGUGUGAAGAAGGCCUUCGGGUUGUAAAGCACUUUUUGUCCGGAAAGAAAUCCUUGGCUCUAAUACAGUCGGGGGAUGACGGUACCGGAAGAAUAAGCACCGGCUAACUACGUGCCAGCAGCCGCGGUAAUACGUAGGGUGCAAGCGUUAAUCGGAAUUACUGGGCGUAAAGCGUGCGCAGGCGGUUUGCUAAGACCGAUGUGAAAUCCCCGGGCUCAACCUGGGAACUGCAUUGGUGACUGGCAGGCUAGAGUAUGGCAGAGGGGGGUAGAAUUCCACGUGUAGCAGUGAAAUGCGUAGAGAUGUGGAGGAAUACCGAUGGCGAAGGCAGCCCCCUGGGCCAAUACUGACGCUCAUGCACGAAAGCGUGGGGAGCAAAC